This 536-nucleotide ribosomal RNA is filed under the name uncultured bacterium. RNAcentral describes it as "partial 16S ribosomal RNA". It matches the Rfam family "Bacterial small subunit ribosomal RNA", at positions 355 to 883 of the family's 1533-position model. The record is from RNAcentral.
UGGGGAAUUUUGGACAAUGGGGGAAACCCUGAUCCAGCCAUCCCGCGUGUGCGAUGAAGGCCUUCGGGUUGUAAAGCACUUUUGGCAGGAAAGAAACGUCGCGGGUUAAUACCCCGCGGAACUGACGGUACCUGCAGAAUAAGCACCGGCUAACUACGUGCCAGCAGCCGCGGUAAUACGUAGGGUGCAAGCGUUAAUCGGAAUUACUGGGCGUAAAGCGUGCGCAGGCGGUUCGGAAAGAAAGAUGUGAAAUCCCAGAGCUUAACUUUGGAACUGCAUUUUUAACUACCGGGCUAGAGUGUGUCAGAGGGAGGUGGAAUUCCGCGUGUAGCAGUGAAAUGCGUAGAUAUGCGGAGGAACACCGAUGGCGAAGGCAGCCUCCUGGGAUAACACUGACGCUCAUGCACGAAAGCGUGGGGAGCAAACAGGAUUAGAUACCCUGGUAGUCCACGCCCUAAAACGAUGUCAACUAGCUGUUGGGGUCUUCGGACCUUGGUAGCGCAGCUAACGCGUGAAGUUGACCGCCUGGGGAGUAC